Molecule: transfer RNA, 71 nt
Filed under: Bos taurus (domestic cattle)
Lineage: Eukaryota; Metazoa; Chordata; Mammalia; Artiodactyla; Bovidae
Also listed under: 3 other names
Rfam family: tRNA
About the family: Transfer RNA (tRNA) molecules are approximately 80 nucleotides in length. Their secondary structure includes four short double-helical elements and three loops (D, anti-codon, and T loops).
Source: Rfam by way of RNAcentral
UCCCUGGUGGCUCAGUAGUAAAGAAUCUGCCUGCCAUGCAGGAGAUGCAUGUUCAACCCGUGCAUUGGGAA